GAUGAACGCUGGCGGCGUGCUUAACACAUGCAAGUCGAACGGAAAGGCUCCUGCUUGCAGGGGUACUCGAGUGGCGAACGGGUGAGUAACACGUGGGUGAUCUGCCCUGCACUUCGGGAUAAGCCUGGGAAACUGGGUCUAAUACCGGAUAGGACGAUGUUUUGGAUGCCAUUGUGGAAAGUUUUUUCGGUGUGGGAUGAGCUCGCGGCCUAUCAGCUUGUUGGUGGGGUAAUGGCCUACCAAGGCGUCGACGGGUAGCCGGCCUGAGAGGGUGUACGGCCACAUUGGGACUGAGAUACGGCCCAGACUCCUACGGGAGGCAGCAGUGGGGAAUAUUGCACAAUGGGCGCAAGCCUGAUGCAGCGACGCCGCGUGGGGGAUGACGGCCUUCGGGUUGUAAACUCCUUUCGCUAGGGACGAAGCGCAAGUGACGGUACCUGGAGAAGAAGCACCGGCUAACUACGUG
This 466-nucleotide ribosomal RNA is filed under the name uncultured bacterium. RNAcentral describes it as "partial 16S ribosomal RNA". It matches the Rfam family "Bacterial small subunit ribosomal RNA", at positions 28 to 507 of the family's 1533-position model. The record is from RNAcentral.